AAAAACAUCGUACAGCAUUGUCCCAAACAAGAAGUGCCAAAUUUUGAGUCCACAGUGAAACAGGAACUGUCAAAUGUUGAACACUUCCUGGCAUGAGUGGAGCUGGGUGUCACUGGACCACCUUGAAAUCUGACUGGACACCCCAGGUACCACCCCAGAUGAUUGACAUGUCACGGCACCUCA
Molecule: long non-coding RNA, 183 nt
Organism: Thalassophryne amazonica
Lineage: Eukaryota; Metazoa; Chordata; Actinopteri; Batrachoidiformes; Batrachoididae
Exons: 3
Source: RefSeq, a predicted model, not a curated record